GCCCGGCUAGCUCAAUGGGUAAGUUUAUUAUCAUAAUUCUUUUAAAUUCAAAAAAGCUAACUUCCUAUAAAGUCAGAGCGUCUGACUUUUAAUCAGAAGGCUGUGGGUUCGAGUCCCACGUCGGGCG
This 127-nucleotide transfer RNA is filed under the name Cytospora mali. RNAcentral's name for it is "tRNA-Lys (TTT) (tRNA-Lys-TTT-1-1)". The stretch from base 56 to 119 matches the Rfam family "tRNA", at positions 10 to 63 of the family's 71-position model. From Rfam's summary of the family: Transfer RNA (tRNA) molecules are approximately 80 nucleotides in length. Their secondary structure includes four short double-helical elements and three loops (D, anti-codon, and T loops). Lineage: Eukaryota; Fungi; Ascomycota; Sordariomycetes; Diaporthales; Cytosporaceae. The record is from RNAcentral.